UACGAACCGUACAAACGUUAUUCGGAAUCACUGGGCUUAAAGGGUGCGUAGGCGGCCAUGUAAGUGAGGUGUGAAAUCCCUCGGCUCAACCGAGGAACUGCGCUUCAUACUGCAUGGCUUGAGGGAGACAGGGGUAAGCGGAACUGAUGGUGGAGCGGUGAAAUGCGUUGAUAUCAUCAGGAACACCGGUGGCGAAAGCGGCUUACUGGGUCGCCUCUGACGCUGAGGUACGAAAGCUAGGGUAGCGAACGGG
Molecule: ribosomal RNA, 253 nt
Filed under: uncultured bacterium
Lineage: Bacteria
Description: partial 16S ribosomal RNA
Rfam family: Bacterial small subunit ribosomal RNA
Source: RNAcentral